UGGGGAAUAUUGGACAAUGGGCGAAAGCCUGAUCCAGCGACGCCGCGUGAGUGAAGAAGGCCUUAGGGUUGUAAAGCUCUUUUAGUGGGGAAGAUAAUGACGGUACCCACAGAAAAAGCCCCGGCUAACUUCGUGCCAGCAGCCGCGGUAAUACGAAGGGGGCUAGCGUUACUCGGAAUUAUUGGGCGUAAAGCGUACGUAGGCUGCUUAGUAAAUCAAAAGUGAAAGCCUUGGGCUCAACCCGAGAAUUGCUUUUGACACUGCUAGGCUUGAGUACUGUAGAGGAUAGCGGAAUUCCUAGUGUAGGGGUGAAAUUCGUAGAUAUUAGGAGGAACACCGGAGGCGAAAGCGGUUAUCUGGACAGUCACUGACGCUGUUGUACGAAAGCGUGGGGAGCAAACAGG
This 404-nucleotide ribosomal RNA is filed under the name uncultured bacterium. RNAcentral's name for it is "bacterial SSU rRNA". It matches the Rfam family "Bacterial small subunit ribosomal RNA", at positions 355 to 776 of the family's 1533-position model. The record is from RNAcentral.